UUAAAGGAAUUGACGGGGGCCCGCACAAGCGGAGGAGCAUGUGGUUUAAUUCGAUGAUACGCGAGGAACCUUACCUGGGCUCGAAACGUAAGAUGACUGUAGGUGAAAGCUUACAUCUCUUCGGAGCAUUUUACGAGGUGCUGCAUGGUUGUCGUCAGCUCGUGCCGUGAGGUGUCGGGUUAAGUCCCAUAACGAGCGCAACCCCUACCUUUAGUUGCCAUCAGGUUAAGCUGGGGACUCUAAAGGAACUGCCUACGCAAGUAGUGAGGAAGGCGGGGAUGACGUCAAAUCAGCACGGCCCUUACGUCCAGGGCUACACACGUGCUACAAUGGCCGAUACAGAGGGCAGCUACCUGGUGACAGGAUGCAAAUCUCCAAAGUCGGUCUCAGUUCGGAUCGGAGUCUGCAACCCGACUCCGUGAAGUCGGAAUCGCUAGUAACCGCAGAUCAGCUACGUUGCGGUGAAUACGUUCCCGGGCCUU
RNAcentral lists this ribosomal RNA (482 nucleotides) under uncultured Sphingobacteriales bacterium. RNAcentral's name for it is "bacterial SSU rRNA". It matches the Rfam family "Bacterial small subunit ribosomal RNA", at positions 901 to 1382 of the family's 1533-position model. Lineage: Bacteria; Pseudomonadati; Bacteroidota; Sphingobacteriia; Sphingobacteriales. The record is from RNAcentral.